CGAGGGAUUUUCGGCAAUGGGCGCAAGCCUGACCGAGCAACGCCGCGUGCGGGACGAGGCCCUUCGGGGUGUAAACCGCUUUUGGGCGGGACGAUGGUGACGGUACCGCCCGAAUCAGCCUCGGCUAACUACGUGCCAGCAGCCGCGGUAAGACGUAGGAGGCGAGCGUUGUCCGGAGUCACUGGGCGUAAAGCGCGCGCAGGCGGCCGCGUGGGCCAUCGCGUGAAAGCCCCCGGCUCAACCGGGUGGUAGCGGGUGGGACCGCGCGGCUGGAGGGUGGUAGGGGCCGGUGGAAUUCCCGGUGUAGUGGUGAAAUGCGUAGAGACCGGGAGGAACACCCGCGGCGAAGGCGGCCGGCUGGGCCACACCUGACGCUGAGGCGCGAAGGCCAGGGGAGCGAACGGG
Molecule: ribosomal RNA, 405 nt
Filed under: uncultured bacterium
Lineage: Bacteria
Description: bacterial SSU rRNA
Rfam family: Bacterial small subunit ribosomal RNA
Source: RNAcentral